RNAcentral lists this ribosomal RNA (253 nucleotides) under uncultured bacterium. RNAcentral describes it as "partial 16S ribosomal RNA". It matches the Rfam family "Bacterial small subunit ribosomal RNA", at positions 524 to 776 of the family's 1533-position model. The record is from RNAcentral.
UACGGGGGGGGCAAGCGUUGUUCGGAAUUACUGGGCGUAAAGGGCUCGUAGGCGGCCAACUAAGUCGGACGUGAAAUCCCUAGGCUCAACCUGGGAACUGCGUCCGAUACUGGAUGGCUUGAAUCCGGGAGAGGGAUGCAGAAUUCCAGGUGUAGCGGUGAAAUGCGUAGAUAUCUGGAGGAAUACCGGUGGCGAAGGCGGCAUCCUGGACCGGCAUUGACGCUGAGGAGCGAAAGCCAGGGGAGCAAACGGG